This 499-nucleotide ribosomal RNA is filed under the name uncultured bacterium. RNAcentral describes it as "partial 16S ribosomal RNA". It matches the Rfam family "Bacterial small subunit ribosomal RNA", at positions 30 to 523 of the family's 1533-position model. The record is from RNAcentral.
AUUGAACGCUGGCGGCAUGCCUUACGCAUGCAAGUCGAACGGCAGCACGGGAGCAAUCCUGGUGGCGAGUGGCGAACGGGUGAGUAAAGUAUCGGAACGUGCCCAGUCGUGGGGGAUAACGUAGCGAAAGUUACGCUAAUACCGCAUACGAUCUAUGGAUGAAAGCGGGGGAUCGCAAGACCUCGCGCGAUUGGAGCGGCCGAUAUCAGAUUAGGUAGUUGGUGGGGUAAAGGCUCACCAAGCCGACGAUCUGUAGCUGGUCUGAGAGGACGACCAGCCACACUGGAACUGAGACACGGCCAGACUCAUAGGGGAGGCAGCAGUGGGGAAUUUUGGACAAUGGGCGAAAGCCUGAUCCAGCCAUGCCGCGUGCAGGAUGAAGGCCUUCGGGUUGUAAACUGCUUUUGUACGGAACGAAAAGGUUUGGCCUAAUAAGCUGAGCUCAUGACGGUACCGGAAGAAUAAGGACCGGCUAACUACGUGCCAGCAGCCGCCGUAA